ACUUGUCGCGUAUAUGAAAGUGACACUUUUCCCGCUCUCCCCCUUGUCCCCUCAGGGUUUGGGAUGGGGGCGGCGGGGGAGUUUAAGGGUUGGAUAGGGCGGCCUUGUGGCGCUUAACGAGCGGCCUCGCGGGAGAAGGGGCUGCGGCCAUCCGUCUAAGCGGCGGGUUUGGCCGGCACGCUCCACUAGAGCUCGUGCGACAGGCGGCGCAAGGCUAAGUUAAAAACAGAGGCAGAUAGCUAAACGAGAGUUUAGCAAGAACAGAAGGGCAGGUCUCAGCGGCGGCGACCCCCAAGCGUUGCGGCGGCAACGAGCGGUAGCAGGCGUCGCGGGAUCAACUAGCCUUAGACUAGACUGCAUGCCUCGUGGCCGCUGGUCAGUGGUACGGCCCUUGGCCUCCGCGCUGGCAGGACCUGCUGGAAAGGCUCACCUAGCAACAGCUUCUCUAGGAGUAGGCAAACGGCGGGUUCCUGUAGGAGGCGACGGCGCGGCAGGCGUCCACCACCGUGUCACGGUGGAGGUGGCUGUUCAAGUACGACCUGGUGGUGGCGGCGGUCGGGAACGAGGGCUACGAGUCGGUUCAGCAGCUGGGCGUCGGCGUCCUUCGGGCGGAGGACAAAAGGAAACUACGGCCACGUCCGGUCGUUUUUGAGACGGGACAACAGGCCUGGAUGCUGAUGCCAUUUGAGGUCCGGCGGACACUACCGGAGGAGUAACAGAGGGUGCCUAGGUACUGCCUACUCAAGUAGACGUUGGGCCAGUGGGCGUUCAGACGGGCGGAUCGUUUCGGAGACCGGGUUGUCCCAAUAAUGGUGGUCUAAUAGCCGAAGAUGGCCGUGGUUGGUAGACCUCCUCUUAAGGCUCAAGAUACCUAGAGAUCAGGCCGUUAGAUGUUACGUAUGUUGUGUUUAAUGUCUUGAAAGAUGAUGCAGUAUCGCCGCCCUAGGCUAUUAUGUUCUAUGUACUCUGUUCCUACGUAUGGUGUUGGUUAUAGGAGCAGCGGAAGGAACCUCGACCGUAAUGCGUCCCCGGACGGACUAAGCAGGGUUAUAGGUGGUCAGGUGGUGGCACCGCCGGACGUGACCUUUGAACCUUUUAUGGUGCCGACGCUACGCCUGAUGUAUUACCACAAGUUGUGUAGUCGACUUUUUAAAGCUAACUACACAGCAGGACGGGCUAACCCGUUGACGAAUGUCCUCAGUAACGACCUCUACUUACUGUGAGAACGAAACACGUCGUAGUCAUCACUGUUUGUGUGGUAUCUACAAACCCACCAUGUCCUAAUGCUACGGCUCUGGACCAGAAAGUUCGUAGUCUAAUUAAACUGGCCCCACCUAGGUAGUCGCGAACAACUAGGUCUCCACUGUUACUAGGGAUCCUACCGACGAGAGUCACUCCCACAAGACGACUAGGUCAAGUGAGCAUCCGCACACAACGUAAAACUGUAGCUACCGUUCAAGAAUCCUAUACACUUCUCGUUUCUACUGGUUCUUUAGCUGAAUACCCAAUGGUUAGUAAUGGAGGCUCCCUCGCAAUAAGGGGAAGGUGACGGGGUACUCUACUCUCUACUUCUACCACGUUCAGUCCUCGGAGGUAAAAAGCAACCUAACAUCCUAUGUCACGAACUAGGACUACAAGAUGUGACGUCUAAAUUCGAAACCCUUGUCACUACGCUAUUUUAAGAGUUGGUAGUUACAGCUACACUUAAAAGAAAACAACGCCCCUUAAAUACACUUGAGAAACAUCUUAGGUAAUAAGAGUUCAACGAAGAUAGGUGUACCACAAAAUCACAAUUCAGACUUCUCCCACCUACUCUGAGGUAAGUCGACGAGUACACAGUCAGACUUCUCGAGUGCUUCGAUCGAUCAAUAACACACGUAGUACAGUACUACACUACACGAACCGAGAACAAGUAGACCACAGAAUUAAACAUCAUGAAGUAUCAUACGAACAUGAACGAUCGUUACGUAGAACCUUUCAACCUUCCUAUUCCUCCGUCGGUCGUCAGAUGACCACAUUUGGACUUGACUUGACUCGAGAGUGUUGACUCAUCUGAGACGAAAGAUACAUUAAAAAAAUUUUGUCGUCUGAGACGAAAGAU
RNAcentral lists this ribosomal RNA (2101 nucleotides) under Triticum aestivum (bread wheat). RNAcentral's name for it is "partial small subunit ribosomal RNA". The record is from RNAcentral. Lineage: Eukaryota; Viridiplantae; Streptophyta; Magnoliopsida; Poales; Poaceae.